UGUGCAACAGUAAUCAAACAACAUUUAAAUGAUUAACUACACAAAGUUAUAUGAAAAUAUCAAAUUCAAACAAAAUUAAUCUAAGAAAAUAUAUCUUUUUUGUGAUUUUUUCAUGAAGAAAGAAAAUAAUUAGAAAACAUAAAAUCAAAUAUGUAUCUAAAAUAUUUUUUGGAGUUUUUAAUAAGGAUUAGAAAAUCAAACUAAAUCCUAUAUUAAAUAAAAUACUAAUUCCUUUUUAUGCAAACUAUUUUUCUAAAGAAAAUUAAAAGAAAUAGUUAGUAAAAAAACAAUUAAAUAUUUGGGCCAGAGGGUUUGAAAUUCGUAUGGAGGUGCAGGCCCAACAUGUAACAAAAGCUGAAUGAGUAAAUAAAAAAAAAAAGAAAGAAAGCUGGGCCGGACCGGGUCGGGUCAGAGUGACCCGGAUCCGCCCAUGCUCUUAUCACAAGUUGCUGGGUUUGAGAACCCUAAAUCAACACAAGAGGCAGCGCCUCUUUCUCACCAUCAUGAUUUUUCCACGAUUUUUUCUGUUUAUGAACAAACAACAACAACUGAAUCCUUCUCUCUGCUUUAUGCUCUCAACAACAACACAGCCCUUUAACAUCUCGCGGCCUCCCUCUCUAACACUCUCUGCUCUCUCUCUCAGGGGAACAACGACAGCAACAACAUAUCUCUCUCGUUCUCGGCUACCUCCGCUCACUUUCAUUCUCAGUAAACAACAACUUUAACUCAGUCUUUCCUCUCUCUCGCGCGGUGGACAACAAUGGUUCGGUUGCUACAGAACUUCACCAAGAUUCAAACUAUCUUGACAGAUAGAGGUAUAAUUCUUAAACGAUUUCUAUGAAUCCGGUUUUGAAACUCAUAUUACCAACAACACAUGAAUUUCGUUUUCCUCCUUCAGAACAUAGCAACAAUUAUUUAUACACUCUCUGCUUUCGGUUUUGAGCAAUUUACAGGUAUAACAAUAAUUAACAGCAAGGUUGAGAGUGAAAGGGGAAUCGAAUUACCUGCGGCAAGGAGGAUUUUACCGGUUUUACGUCGAGAAAGUUUGUUGAUUGAAGGUGGUAUGAAGAUGAAAGUUGGAUGAUGAGGAUGAUUGAUGCGUUGAUACGGGGCUGCAACUAGAGGAUCUAUUUUGAUGAAGAUGAUGCAACAAAACCUUUUUUGGAUAUUAGGGAGACUUGAAGAUGCAACUUCAAGUUGUUGCUCUCUACUAAGGUAUGAACUACUUCUUCACCCCUUUUCCAACUAUGGAACUAAGAAACUUUGAAAAUUAUGAGAGAAAAGGGAGGAGUGAAAAAGCAAGUAGUUAAGGUUGCUUUUGGUGUCAUUUGUUGCAAAGGGAGAACUUCCUAUUUAUAGGCAAAGUUUAGGGAUUUGUAAGGAAUUAAGAAACUUGAUUGGGAGGUUAUGGUCAUCUCAAGAAUGAGAAUAAGAAUAAAAAUAUUCUUCAUGAUUGCAAGAAUAAGAAUAUAUUCCUUAUGUCAUUAUCCAAAGAUAUUUCUUAUGAUAUGAAUCAUGCAAGUGGAAGAAAAAUCUCUCUUUGAUCCCCUUUUUUUUUGUCUUGAAUC
Vicia villosa (hairy vetch) is the source of this 1568-nucleotide long non-coding RNA. RefSeq lists it as uncharacterized. Lineage: Eukaryota; Viridiplantae; Streptophyta; Magnoliopsida; Fabales; Fabaceae. The transcript has 3 exons. The record is from RefSeq and is a predicted model, not a curated record.